GACGAACGCUGGCGGCGUGCCUAAUACAUGCAAGUAGAACGCACAGUUUAUACCGUAGCUUGCUACACCAUAGACUGUGAGUUGCGAACGGGUGAGUAACGCGUAGGUAACCUGCCUGGUAGCGGGGGAUAACUAUUGGAAACGAUAGCUAAUACCGCAUAAUAUUAAUUAUUGCAUGAUAAUUAAUUGAAAUGUGCAAUUGCACCACUACCAGAUGGACCUGCGUUGUAUUAGCUAGUAGGUGAGGUAACGGCUCACCUAGGCGACGAUACAUAGCCGACCUGGGAGGGUGAUCGGCCACACUGGGACCGAGACACGGCCCAGACUCCUACGGGGAGCAGCAGUAGGGAAUCUUCGGCAAUGGACGAAAGUCUGACCGGGCCACGCCGCGUGAGGGAAGAAGGGUUUCGGAUCGUAAAGCUCUGUUGUAAGAGAAGAACGGGUGUGAGAGUGGAAAGUUCACACUGUGACGGUAUCUUACCAGAAAGGGACGGCUAACUACGUG
RNAcentral lists this ribosomal RNA (505 nucleotides) under uncultured bacterium. RNAcentral describes it as "partial 16S ribosomal RNA". It matches the Rfam family "Bacterial small subunit ribosomal RNA", at positions 28 to 507 of the family's 1533-position model. The record is from RNAcentral.